CCUACGGGAGGCUGCAGUGGGGAAUAUUGCACAAUGGGGGAAACCCUGAUGCAGCGACGCCGCGUGAAGGAUGAAGUAUUUCGGUAUGUAAACUUCUAUCAGCAGGGAAGAAAAUGACGGUACCUGACUAAGAAUCCCCGGCGAAAUACGUGCCAGCAGCCGCGGUAAUACGUAGGGGGCAAGCGUUAUCCGGAUUUACUGGUUGGAAAGGGAGCGUAGACGGUAUGGCAAGUCUGAUGUGAAAACCCGGGGCUCAACCCCGGGACUGCCUUGGAAACUGCCGAACUCGAGUGUCUGAGAGGCAAGUGGAAUUCCUGGUGUAGCGGUGAAAUGCGUAGAUAUUAGGAGGAACACCAGUGGCGAAGGCGGCUUGCUGGACGAUGACUGACGUUGAGGCUCGAAAGCGUGGGGAGCAAACAGGAUUAGAUACCCGGGUAGUC
This 440-nucleotide ribosomal RNA is filed under the name uncultured bacterium. Its description in RNAcentral is "partial 16S ribosomal RNA". It matches the Rfam family "Bacterial small subunit ribosomal RNA", at positions 338 to 795 of the family's 1533-position model. The record is from RNAcentral.